UCCCUGGUGGCUCAGAUGGUAAAGAAUCCGCUUUCAAUGCAGGAGAUCUAGGUUCAAUACCUAGGCUGGGAA
This 72-nucleotide transfer RNA is filed under the name Bos taurus (domestic cattle). It matches the Rfam family "tRNA". From Rfam's summary of the family: Transfer RNA (tRNA) molecules are approximately 80 nucleotides in length. Their secondary structure includes four short double-helical elements and three loops (D, anti-codon, and T loops). Lineage: Eukaryota; Metazoa; Chordata; Mammalia; Artiodactyla; Bovidae. The record is from Rfam by way of RNAcentral.